RNAcentral lists this ribosomal RNA (375 nucleotides) under Cambarus deweesae. Its description in RNAcentral is "partial 16S large subunit ribosomal RNA". The stretch from base 43 to 375 matches the Rfam family "Bacterial large subunit ribosomal RNA", at positions 2048 to 2593 of the family's 2925-position model. Lineage: Eukaryota; Metazoa; Arthropoda; Malacostraca; Decapoda; Cambaridae. The record is from RNAcentral.
ACAAGAAAUAAUCUGUCUUAGGUUAAUAUAUUGAAUUUAACUUUUGAGUGAAAAGGCUUAAAUAAUCUGAAGGGACGAUAAGACCCUAUAAAACUUUAUAUUGAAAAGUGGUAGGUAUGAUUUGUUUAAAGAUUAUUACUUUAAAGUAUUUGGUUGGGGUGACAAAAAUAGAAUGGAAAGUAACUGUUUUUUUUUUUUACAGUGAUGUUUGAGUCAGUGAUCCUAAAAUGGAUUAGAAGAUUAAGUUACUUUAGGGAUAACAGCGUAAUUUUCUUUAAGAGUUCUUAUCGAUAAGAAAGUUUGCGACCUCGAUGUUGAAUUAAAGGUUCUUUAUGGAGUAGAGACUAUAAAAUAAGGUCUGUUCGACCUUUAAAA